Drosophila novamexicana is the source of this 3420-nucleotide RNA transcript. It is a transcript of the gene named transmembrane protein 245, with no coding region annotated. The record is from RefSeq and is a predicted model, not a curated record. NCBI's taxonomy places the organism in Eukaryota, Metazoa, Arthropoda, Insecta, Diptera, Drosophilidae. The transcript is spliced from 8 exons.
ACCCCAGCCCCCACAAAUAUCUACCGAAAAUGCAAAGGAGCUGCAUUCAUCAACCCUAUUUCAGAUUUAAACAAUAAUAAUUUCCCUCGUUGCGUGUAACCUUCUUUUCUCAACAUGAACCGCUCGGAUUCUAUACCCAUACGGCGUGAUCGCUCCUUUGACAGCGUUCUCAAUCGCUUGCUUAGGAUGCGGUCACAGAAUCAUGAGAGCUUUCGGGCUGCCAUGUACAAUUUUCUAAUUGCAGCGGGCGUGGCCGCUUUUGUGGCCGUCUGCUUCAUCCUGGGCCCCUUUGUGCGUCCGCUGCUGUGGGCCUUCCUCAUGGGCGCCGUGCUGUUCCCAUUCAAGCGCAAGCUGGCCGAACUGCUGAACAAUUGGUUCCAGCGCCUGGAGGAGCGCGACUCGAAUGUGAUCGUCUCCAUUUGCCUGGCUCCACUGGAGGCUACCGAGCAUUGCGGUCGCUUGCUCAUCGACUGGCUGUGCCAGCACUGGCAGCUUCUCAUAGCCGGCUGCGGCGUCGCCGUCUGCGUCAAGCUUCUUGUUUUGUAUGCGCCCAAAGGCUGCCUGUUGUUGCUCUGGAACUGGCUGACCUUUUCGCACGGCCUGUUCGUGCGCAUCAUUGGCUUUCUCAAUGUGUAUGUGCUCAUCGUUUUGAUUGCCAUCUACUUGUCCUCGGUGCACUUUUUCUGGAAACCAGAGAAUAGCGCACGUUUCGUUGUUGCCGGCCAGUCCAUGUGGAUAGCCAUUGCCGGCUAUUUGUGCAGCUUUCUGGGCGCGUUUCAGGUGCCUGUUUUCCUGCUGGUCAUGGGCUACGUGCUUGUCUCCACGGCGUAUCAUCUGCAGACGAGUGAUGAUCAUGACGCCAGCUCCUAUUUGGAGCGCCUGCAGAAGCUGUUCAAUAAAAAUGAUUUCGAGAAAUCUUUGAGCAAUCUCAGCAUAUGUCGCCGAGCUGCUGGCGAGCCGACAUUGCAAUCCGAUGUAGAGGACAUUUCGUUGAGUGACACUAUAGAUUCCGAGGACACAUUCGAUGCCAAGCUGGCGGAGGAGCCAGAGGUACACCAAAGCGAUACCUACUUUAAGCUGUUAUUUUAUGCCUGCCUGGGCACCUUUUUGUAUCGCAAUAUUUGGAUGUUUAUACUGGCUGCGGUGCCGGUGUUUCUGCAUUUAUUGUACACCGCGGGCAGCUAUACGGGCCUAACCCAGUUUGUCUGCGGCAAGCUCGACGAUGCCUAUCGGGGCGUGCGGUCUUGGGCCUUGGAGCAUCAUUCGGCUGUGCUGCCGCUGUGCCUGCCGGGCGUUCUGGAGCUCAACUACAAGAUCAACUGCAUUGUGCGGGAUUCGCUGAAGUCAUCUGUGGAGUCUGUCACAUCCAUUCUAAUGAUCAUACUCAUGCUGCUCAUCAUCAUCUUUCUGAGUGUUUUCUUUUGCGUUAACAUCUAUUCAGAGACGAUUGAGGUCGCGUAUCUGGGCAAAGAUCUAAUUAACAAGACAAUCACAGAUCGUCCUGAGCUAAUUGAUAUAUUGCCCGCCAAUAUGCAGGCGUCCAUUGAUGAUGCGCUCGACAAUGCGCAUCAUUAUGGUCGCCGUAAGAUUGAGACCUAUAUAGAUGAUUGGCUCGCCGAUGCCGACAAGGUGCAUGCCACCAAAUUGAAGGAGCAAAUUCUCGAUGUCUGGGACAGGCUCAUACAGUAUUGGAUUGACUUCAACAAGGCGGGCACCUCGUACGGGCCGCGCGUGCCCACGGAUGCGCUGAAAAGCACCUUCGGUGAGAUUGUCGAUAAUCCAGGACAUUUUAAAGAGCUAGUUUUAGUGGCAAAACAGGGCAUCAUCGGCUGGGCGCAGAGCAAUACGCAGACCAUACUUGAGGUUGCCGAAUCUCUGUGGCACAUUAUACGCACGAAUCUCUCGAUGAUAAUGGGCGUUACGGGUGAGAUACUCUCGCUGCUGCUAUCCGGCGGACAGGCGUGCAUUGAGUUCAUAUUGGACAUGAUUGUGUUCUUCACUGCCUUGUUCUAUCUACUGUCCAGCAGUCAGGAGAAGUAUGCGCCCAUGCAGAUCACCAAAUACAUGGGUUACUCUGCCUCGGGCAUUAAAGUCGCUGAUGCCUUGGAGAACUCAAUUACGGUUGUGCUCGUCUCCAUGUUCAAGUGCUCCACGUUUACGGGUCUCUUCACCUGGCUGGUACAUACGGUGUUUGGCGCUCGGAUUGUCUUCCUGCCUUCCGCUUUGGCUGCUCUGCUGGCGGCUGCUCCGUUUUUGGGCAGCUACUGGUGUGCGGUGCCUGCCUUUCUGGAGCUCUGGCUGGCACAGGAUCGCUUCUAUGCGGGACUAAUACUGUUCCUCUUACAAUUCUUUGUGCCCUCGUCCUUCGAGACCGCCAUCUAUGCGGACAUUAAGGGCGGGGGUCAUCCCUACCUCAAUGGCCUGGCCAUAGCGGGCGGCAUGUACUGGAUUGGCUGGCAGGGCGCCAUCUUUGGCCCCCUGAUGCUCUGCUUCUUCAUUGGCCUCUUCGAAGUGGCCACUCUGGCCAUGCGCACGAAUCAGGAGCCCAGGUAUGUUUGGCGCUAGCUUUUGGCAUGCAAGUUAAGAAUUUUAUUUAUAUCGACAACUCUGCGGCCGGAAGCAUAUGAACGCAGCUCGGAUGAGGAGACGCGCACCACGUGAGUCGUCCGCAUGACUUCAAAGGAUCUAGCUCCAACAACUGCGAAUUUCUUUCAAUACUCGAAAUGCAAAUCUAACAAGUUUCCGAGCUUGUCUGGGCCAACUAACUAACUAAUGAAUGUCAAGCAUUUAGCCAAGCUAAGCAAAUUUUUCAGUUUACACGUUAUUUCAUACUUUUUUUUUUAGUAUUUGAUUCGAGUCGCUUUUGUUUAUAUUUUUGUACUAAAUUUUUAAGUAUGCAAACAAUUGAUUCCGUCACUAAAAGCUGUGUAUUAAAACUAAUGUAUUUAACUAAGUUUAUAUACCCUUGCUAAGCAUUACUAUAACUGAAAUUUGUUUUGGCAUAAGCGAAUAGUGCAUACUCUACAACAGUUUGUAUUGUUUUCUCUGAACAGGUCCAAUAAUCUCUCACUUACAACUUAGUCUUAAAAAUAAAAUACUGUAUUUAUAAAAUUCUUGCUUAUGCUCCCUUUAUGGUAUAUAUAUAUAAAGGGAGCCUAAACAAUAAUUGUCUCUUAGCGCUUGCCAAGGGUAUAUAAGCUUCGUUGUGACCGAUGUUAGCUUUCUAGUAAUAGUUUUUAUAUCACCUAAUACUUCGUUUGUUUUGUAUAAAGAGGCACAUAUUUUAAGCCUGACUCUAAAAACCGUCAACCGGUUUCCUCAUGCCAGUUCGUACCUAACUUUGUGCUGGCUACACAUGUGAUUUGUUUAAGCUUAUGUUAAAAACUUUAUUGCAAAUAAAUGUCAUUACGUACUAACAAA